Molecule: ribosomal RNA, 253 nt
Filed under: uncultured bacterium
Lineage: Bacteria
Description: partial 16S ribosomal RNA
Rfam family: Bacterial small subunit ribosomal RNA
Source: RNAcentral
UACGUAGGUGGCAAGCGUUGUCCGGAAUUAUUGGGCGUAAAGCGCGCGCAGGCGGUCUUUUAAGUCUGAUGUGAAAGCCCACGGCUCAACCGUGGAGGGUCAUUGGAAACUGGGAGACUUGAGUGCAGAAGAGAAGAGUGGAAUUCCACGUGUAGCGGUGAAAUGCGUAGAGAUGUGGAGGAACACCAGUGGCGAAGGCGACUCUGUGGUCUGUAACUGACGCUGAGGCGCGAAAGCGUGGGGAGCAAACAGG